Molecule: ribosomal RNA, 253 nt
Filed under: uncultured bacterium
Lineage: Bacteria
Description: partial 16S ribosomal RNA
Rfam family: Bacterial small subunit ribosomal RNA
Source: RNAcentral
UACGUAGGGCGCAAGCGUUAUCCGGAAUUAUUGGGCGUAAAGAGCUCGUAGGCGGUUUGUCGCGUCUGCCGUGAAAGUCCGGGGCUCAACUCCGGAUCUGCGGUGGGUACGGGCAGACUAGAGUGAUGUAGGGGAGACUGGAAUUCCUGGUGUAGCGGUGAAAUGCGCAGAUAUCAGGAGGAACACCGAUGGCGAAGGCAGCUCUCUGGGCAUUAACUGACGCUGAGGCGCGAAAGCAUGGGGAGCGAACAGG